Priapulus caudatus is the source of this 283-nucleotide long non-coding RNA. RefSeq lists it as uncharacterized. The transcript is spliced from 2 exons. The record is from RefSeq and is a predicted model, not a curated record. Lineage: Eukaryota; Metazoa; Priapulida; Priapulimorpha; Priapulimorphida; Priapulidae.
GGUCGGUUUAGCUCCAGAUUAGCUGAAUCAAAAAGAUUAGAAUUUAACAUAUGAACAAAACAAAUAUAAUAGUUUAUAUAAAAUCACAUAACAAAAGAAAGGAUCGAGGUGAUUAAUAGGCAACCAAGUAAUAAAAAAAUUCAGCCAAUAUUUUCAUACGCUAGCGCCGGAUUUAAUAUAGCGAGUUAUAACGCUAUGAUAGCGAUGUCCGAACUGAAAAAUGUAUAAUUAUUAUGAAAUUAUUAUUAAAUAAAAUCAUUAUUGUUAUGUCUCCGUCGUAAAA